RNAcentral lists this ribosomal RNA (391 nucleotides) under uncultured eukaryote. Its description in RNAcentral is "SSU rRNA". It matches the Rfam family "Eukaryotic small subunit ribosomal RNA", at positions 587 to 972 of the family's 1831-position model. The record is from RNAcentral.
AGCUCCAAUAGCGUAUAUUAAAGUUGUUGCAGUUAAAAAGCUCGUAGUUGGAUUUCUAAACGGAGUGAACCGGUCCUUCCCGAAAGGGUUGUGUACUUUUGUGUCAUCUCUGUUUAUCUUUGAGUCGAAUUAUUCUGACAUUCAUUUGUUGGAGUAGGGAAGCUCAUCGUUUACUGUGAAAAAAUUAGAGUGUUCAAAGCAGGCUUACGCCGCUGAAUAUAUUAGCAUGGAAUAAUAAGAUAGGACCUUUGGUGGCUAUUUUGUUGGUUUAAACGCCAAGGUAAUGAUUAAUAGGGAUAGUUGGGGGUAUUCAUAUUUAAUUGUCAGAGGUGAAAUUCUUGGAUUUCUGAAAGAUGAACUACUGCGAAAGCAUUUACCAAGGAUGUUUUCA